CGCGCGCACUGAACCACGUGACUGUCGGACAGGUGGACGCUGCUCAGUUGCAUGAGGAACAAGUAAGCGCGAAGGUCGCCGGCUUUAAUAACAAAAAGAAAAUCGACGCUUUCGGCUGAGCGUCUUGGUGCAAAUCGAGUCGGAUGUUUUACCUACAAGAAACCGGCAUUUUUUCAGUUUCAGGACACAUAAAAACCUGCUAAUCGACAGUUCAGGGUAAAUCAUCUGUAAUGAAAACACCAGAGGAAUGACACCAUAAGGACACCAACCCUGAAACGCAAGACUGAAGGAACCUACCAGCCGAGUGCAGAGGAGCAAAAACAGGCAGAGAGCCAGGAGUCAGAGAAACCAGGCCUUCCAUUGCCUCUACCCAAAGAGGAGAGACUGAUCUGAGGCCCUCCUUUAAC
Molecule: long non-coding RNA, 407 nt
Organism: Hemibagrus wyckioides
Lineage: Eukaryota; Metazoa; Chordata; Actinopteri; Siluriformes; Bagridae
Exons: 3
Source: RefSeq, a predicted model, not a curated record